GACAGAGGUGCCGAGCGUUAGGCGGAAUCACUGGGCUUAAAGCGUGUGUAGGCGGGCGAUCAAGUACCUUGUGAAAUCCCACGGCUCAACCGUGGAACCGCUGGGUAUACUGGUUGUCUUGAGCCGGCUAGGGGCGAGCGGAACAGACGGUGGAGCGGUGAAAUGCGUAGAUAUCGUCUGGAACGCCGAAGGUGAAAACAGCUCGCUGGGGCCGCGCUGACGCUGAGACACGAAAGCCAGGGGAGCGAACGGGAUUAGAUACCCCGGUAGUCCUGGCCCUAAACGAUGUCCACUAGAUCGCUGGACUUUUGACGGUCUGGCGGUCGAAGCCAAAGUGCUAAGUGGACCGCCUGGGAAGUACGGUCGCAAGGCUAAA
Molecule: ribosomal RNA, 376 nt
Filed under: uncultured bacterium
Lineage: Bacteria
Description: bacterial SSU rRNA
Rfam family: Bacterial small subunit ribosomal RNA
Source: RNAcentral